RNAcentral lists this ribosomal RNA (468 nucleotides) under uncultured bacterium. RNAcentral's name for it is "partial 16S ribosomal RNA". It matches the Rfam family "Bacterial small subunit ribosomal RNA", at positions 28 to 507 of the family's 1533-position model. The record is from RNAcentral.
GACGAACGCUGGCGGCGUGCUUAACACAUGCAAGUCGAACGGAAAGGCCCUGCUUUUGUGGUGUGCUCGAGUGGCGAACGGGUGAGUAACACGUGAGUAACCUGCCCUUGACUUUGGGAUAACUUCAGGAAACUGGGGCUAAUACCGGAUAGGAGCUCCUGCUGCAUGGUGGGGGUUGGAAAGUUUCGGCGGUUGGGGAUGGACUCGCGGCUUAUCAGCUUGUUGGUGGGGUAGUGGCUUACCCAGGCUUUGACGGGUAGCCGGCCUGAGAGGGUGACCGGCCACAAUGGGACUGAGGUACGGACCAGACUCCUACGGGAGGCAGCAGUGGGGAAUAUUGCACAAUGGGCGGAAGCCUGAUGCAGCGGCGCCGCGUGCGGGAUGACGGCCUGCUGGUUAUAAACCGCUUUCGCCUGAGACGAAGCGUGAGUGACGGUAAUGAGUGAAGAAGCACCGGCUAACUACGUG